Molecule: long non-coding RNA, 1343 nt
Organism: Dicentrarchus labrax (European seabass)
Lineage: Eukaryota; Metazoa; Chordata; Actinopteri; Moronidae
Exons: 3
Source: RefSeq, a predicted model, not a curated record
UGCCUGGGCAAAUUCAGACAGUGAAGACUGUUAGAGGACCUGUAGGCUGAACGAAUACGAUAUACAAAGGACAUUUUUGAGAUAAAUAAAGAAUUCCAGAGAAAAUGUCCAGAUUUGAACAUUACACAUCAAAAAUGAUGGAUGAAGUCCCAUCAAGGACAGGAGCUACAGGAGUGACAAUCAGACAUAUAAAAGACAUGCUUCUCCAGCCCAAUCCAACUGAAGUACACAGAGACGAAGCUAUCCACUGCCUUGGAGAGAAGGAAGAGGACCGUUCUCAAGGAGUUCACACAGGGCAGUGUAAACACAAAGGGCAGGAGACAGUAGCGUUUGAGGCAGGCCUCGAUAGACAACUGAUGAACAGUGCCGUCAUGGGUGACGGUCCACCGAGAAUCUGAUGCGCGCAUGCGUAAAGUUUGUCGGGAGCGCUCGCAGCGCGCUCAGGUAUGGAUCCUUAUUCUCUGAUUUACCUGUGCAGGUGCAGGCCGGUGAACUUGUGUUUGCUCGUGUGUGAGCGAGUGUUGGAUUAGAGGAAAGGACACGCGUUUGAGGAUGACUUUGUAGGCUCAGUUAACUAUUUGUUCACGGCUUUGUAGAGUUUCUUACCUGGAUUUUGCUUUUUAUUGUUUUGUGAAGUGGUGCGGAGUUUUCACUUGUAGGUUGUAGCAACGUUCCCCUUUGGGUUCGUUGAGCUGUUUUUGUGUAGUGUUGUAGUGUUGAACGUGGCUGAAGCUUUGCUUGGGAGCAUGUUGAUGGUUUCUGGAGGGUUGCUGGUUCGCUAGUCGCUCUCCUGAUCCAGAUUAUUCCUCUUUGUGCGCACAGGUGAACGGCUUUGUGUCUGUCUGGUCCUUUAGCGUGCGUAAACGUUGAUUAUUGUCCCACUUUAUAACUUCUACAUCUCAUACUGCUCACACACUCACAUCUACAGCACUGAUGUUACUGAUAAACACACCUCAGAUGUGCACUUAUUAAUAAAUACAUGAUCCAUGGCCUUGGAGACGAGUUAUGACAAUCUUAAAAAGUCUAGUUCCCCAAAGUCACAUUUUUUAUGUUUGAAUAAUUGUUUCCAUUUCCUUUAGUUUCUAUAAAGACAAAUGGUUCAUAUUCUGUAACACUGAGGCCACAGACGUUGCUCCAUCUGUUCUUCAGUUUGAAGAAAUCAGUGACACAGCAGUUUGUUACGUUGUUGAGUCAAACACUGGACACAGCGAACAUUUGAGGGCUUUAUUUAGCAACUGCUAACACUGAUAGCAUCCACGUUUCACCUGCAGCCGCUGUACUUCUCCACCUGUUCCUCUCUACUUCUCUGUCCCUCAUUCUGCAGUCCUCUUCCACUCUGUACA